RNAcentral lists this ribosomal RNA (559 nucleotides) under uncultured bacterium. RNAcentral's name for it is "bacterial SSU rRNA". It matches the Rfam family "Bacterial small subunit ribosomal RNA", at positions 338 to 915 of the family's 1533-position model. The record is from RNAcentral.
CCUACGGGAGGCAGCAGUGGGGAAUCUUGCGCAAUGGGGGCAACCCUGACGCAGCCAUGCCGCGUGAAUGAUGAAGGCCUUAGGGUUGUAAAGUUCUUUUGCCCGUGACGAUGAUGACGGUAACGGGAGAAUAAGCUCCGGCUAACUUCGUGCCAGCAGCCGCGGUAAUACGAAGGGGGCUAGCGUUGUUCGGAAUUACUGGGCGUAAAGCGCGCGCAAGCGGUUCGAUAAGUUAGGGGUGAAAUCCCUGGGCUCAACCCAGGAAUGGCCUUUAAGACUGUCGAGCUAGAGGACGAGAGAGGUGAGUGGAAUUCCCAGUGUAGAGGUGAAAUUCGUAGAUAUUGGGAAGAACACCGGUGGCGAAGGCGGCUCACUGGCUCGUUUCUGACGCUGAGGCGCGAAAGCGUGGGGAGCAAACAGGAUUAGAUACCCUGGUAGUCCACGCCCUAAACGAUGAGUGCCAGGUGUCGGGAAGCUUAGCUUCUCGGCGCCGCAGCUAACGCCUUAAGCACUCCGCCUGGGGAGUACGGCCGCAAGGUUAAAACUUAAGGAAUUGACG